AAAGGGAAAGGGAAAGCAACUGAAGAUGCUUGUAACUUCUGUUAUCCUUCUGUUUUAUAUUGACCACUUGUCUUUCUUUUCUUCAAUUCACAGCAAAGUUAGAGAGCGAAAGGGAAAGCAACCGAAUACGCUUGUAACUUCCCUAAUUACAAAUUUACCAUUUUCACUACGAAUCUCGAGGGUUUUAUUGGAAUUGAAAGAUCCCUGAUCGAUUCUGAUUCGGAAAAUGCCUUCUUCAAGUGCAGCCGAUGUUGGAUCCAUCGACCCCACAACUGCAAGAUAAAACACCAAGCAACCCAAGGCUUGAUGUAAUCUUGAAGAUCUGUAUGACCAGAGGUUUGGAGAAGCAAAGUAGCGGAUGCAAUCCAAUGGAACAGUACCAACAAUGUGAUUCCAGUACAGAUCUGGAUUGUUUGCAGAAACGAAACUUGGUGGAGAUAUGGAGGAUGUUGGCAGCAGAGGUUGUGUUUGCAGAGGUUAGAUGAAAUGGAGGAUAGCUUGAAGAGGUGAAUCACAACUCAGAAGGCCCCCACACUAGGAAGGAAGUUGCAAUGGAGAAGCAAGCAUUGAAGUGACUCUCGGACAUGAGAAAGUGUCUAUGCAUUUCAACAGAGUUUCUCUAAUAUCAUCCAAUGUGCUAAAUGUGCUAGCUUCUAGAAACCAUAUGGAGUACACAUUUAUUUUAAUUCUAAUAUAAGAAAGUUCCCGGUGCACCCUCUAUCAAGCUAAUCUCACCCCUGCAUGUGCAUAAAGGUCUCUUUUACCCCUCUCCAUGUUUUUGGGUUGUUCUUUAUUUGGUGGGCUUGGCCCCCGCAUAUCAUCCCCUCCCCCUUGGAAAGGAUUUGUCCUCAAAUCUGAUGGUUCGCCUGAGGACUUAUUUUUGUAGACUUCACUAGAAUUCCUCCAAGGUCAAAUAUCCACCUGCAAUAAGCAUUAAACAUAUCACUAAUUAGUUUUCUAUGACCCAACAAAAUAUAUAAAAGAACAUGUUUAGAAGAAGGUUUCUUAAUUUUAAAAUGUUCAAGUUUAAUACUAUGAAGAAACCUUUCUUCUUUUGAAAUUUUAUUUGUCUCUUGAGUUAGUGGUACCCAUAAAAGUAACCCUAACCCAAGUUGUGAAUUGCCAUGUAUUGAAGGUUUUAUUAUUUUUAAAGAUGGCAUGGNAAAUUCUUGGAGAGAAAAGUGAUAUUUUGGACUUUCAAAANUAAAUGAAGAAAAGUGAAAGGAUAGUAAACCUCCCCUUAAUAGUUUUGAUUCCAUUGUGGUUGGAGGAGAUAUUGCUCUUAGUUGCUUUUGUUCACUUUCUUCCACUUCUUUUCUUUCAAUUUCUUCUUUGUCUUCUCUUUCUUUUUCUUUUAUUCUCUCUUCCUCUUUUCUUCUCUCUUCUUCUCUCUCUUCUUCCUCUCUUUUUCUUCUGUCUUCUUCUAUCUCUUCCUCUCUUUUUCUUCUCUCUAAUUCUAGUCUUCUUUGAUUUUCUUCUUUCAACUUUCUUUCUUUUUCUUUUUCAUCUAUUUCCUUGUUAAGGCGCAUUUGUGCUUGAUCAUCCGCCACUUGUGAUGAUGAGAGAGGAUGAAGUACAAAUUUAUUCUCAUGAUGAUGCACAAUUAUGGUAUUGGUAAGACCAUUAUGAAUUGUUUUAUGAUCAAAUUGCCAUGGUCUUCCCAAUAAAACAUGACAAAUUUCCAUUGGAACUACAUCACAUAAAACUUUGUUUUUAAAAUUGCCAAUGGAAAUUGUUACUGUGACUUGAUCCUUGACUGUGAUAUUCCCAUCUUUAUUGAUCCAAUGUAUUUUAUAAGGUUUAGGAUGGGGUUGUACAACAAGAUUUAAUUUUUCAACUAAUCUAGUGCUACAGCAGUUAGAGCACGAACCACUAUCAACAAUGAGAGAACAAGUGUUACUUUGAAUUUGACAUCUUGUGUGAAAGAGAGUCUCUCUUUGUGAUAGUUGUUCUACACUAGAUUGGUUGUGAAAUAUUUUUUUGAUCAUGAGCAGCUAUCCUUCACAAGGAUAGACUUCCUCAGUAGUGGAUUUUUCUUGAUCACUCUCAUUCUCACUAUUGGAAGAUUCACUACUAUAACUGUCAAUGCCCCUCAAUAUGAUAGUUCUUUUGGUGGGACAUUGUGCAACUAUAUGUCCUCUUCCUAGACAUUUAAAACACUUGAUCUCACUGGUGCGAGUGUGUGAAGAGGAUUCUUGUUUAGGUUUCUCAUCAAUUUUGGCUAGAGGAUUGAAAGGCUCCUUUUCUUUUAAACCUUUUCUUUCAAAAGAAUGUUGAACUUGAGCUCUCUUAAGAGAGGUUUUUCUUAAAUUUUGUUGCUCUACCUUGAUACACAUUUGGACAAGACUAUCUAAAUCUAUAUAAGGUAGUAAUUCAACCUUAUCUCUGAUUUCAUAAUUAAGCCCACUAAAAAAUCUAGCCAUUGUGAGUUCAUCUGUUUCCUCAAUUCUUGCCCUCAUCAUAUACAACUCCAUCUUUUGUCUAUAUUGUUCUACAAACAUAUAAUUUUGUUGUAGUCUUAGGAGUUUAUCCAUAAGCUCUCUAUGGUAAUAUGAUGGAAUAUGUCUCCUCCUAAGGGCAGUGAUCAAGUCAUUCUAAUAUUGUAUUGGAGGAUUUUGGUGGCGCCUUCUUUCUUCCACUAUGGCAGUCCACCAAUACAUGGCAUACCCUUGAAAGCUUAGGGUAGCUAGGGAACCUUACUUUCUUCACUAACUUGGUGGCAAGCAAAAAGUUGCUCCACCUUCAUUUGCCAAUCUAAGAAAGCCUCUACAUCAUCCUUUCCAUGGAAAUGAGGCACGUUAAUAUUGACUUCUCUAGGGUGAGGAGGUUCUUGGAUUUCCCUCCUAUGUCUUCUAAAAGAAGAAUAGUCUCCAUCAUAAUCUCCCAUUCUAAAAUCCUCUACCUCAUGGUGAGAAUCUCCACUCCUACUUCCCCUCAUUCUCCCUUGCUCAUCUCUCAUGACUCUCAACUCAUCUUGAAUUAUGGUGAUUUGCCUUUCCCUAUCUUGUUGAGCAUAAUCCAUCUUUCUUUCAGUGUCGAUUCUCCAUUGAGUUAGCUCUCUAAGUUGUUUUGAAAUAUCUUUGAGAGUAACUUGUUCCUCAGAAUCACUAACUCUUGGAGAUUGAUGCUUUGACAUUUUGUGAUUCUAAAAGUUUUCUUGUGUUACAACUUACUUAGAUUUCACCCAAGAACAAAUUCCAGGUAAGGGAGGUGAACCACUAGGGUUGCUUAAGUACCAAGCCUUGUCCUUGCCAAAAAUGUUCUAGGCUACUUAGUAGUUAUUACUCCAAGAUUACUUCUAAGAUCACAAAAGAAGACUCAAACACAAAGCAAAGAAGUAGGACUCUAAAUUCGGACUCUAGAAGAGAUCCCUAGACGAAAAAUUGAAAACAAAUGGUAAAUUGAAGGAAACUUAAAGACAAUGGAAAUAUAAAAGUGAGGUCUCCUAGGUGAGGCUUAGACUUUGGAUCUAAGACACACUCACCGUCUACCAAUUUUUAGGUUAUGAGACUUUAAGUCAAGUUAGCAAAUGAGGGAAGAACACUUAUGAGCUCUUCCACUUCACUUGCUUGAAAUGGCCCUUUACACACAAAGAACAAAUGAACUUUUACAAGAAAGAACUAUAUGAAAUGAAAAGGAAAUGAAUUGACAAAAGGAGUAAAUGAUGUAUGCAGCUCUAGCUUCUCAAAAACAGUGAGUGAAUUGAUUGAAUUCACACUAAACUCUCAGCUGCAAGGUGAAGAUAACUGUGUAUGGAUGACUCUGCUGCUGUAUGGAUGACAGUACUGUUACUGUUUGAUGUGUCAAACGCUGCUGCAACCUUGUCCGUGAAUCCACUUCAUGACGUUGUCUCUCAAGCACUGAACUCCCUUUGAUGCUUCCUCGUGUAAUGGAUAAUCUGAACUGUAUCACACCUAUUCAAUCAACACAAAUCAUCAAUGCAAUUUACCUCACUGCUGUCAGAGAAUUGCACCCAAAAACCAGUACAGCACAUACCUUUUAUCAAACAGGUUGUGUGCAAGAGUUCCAAAAAAUUUGAAAUCAAGAGAUUAAUCAGGUAGCAAACACGGUAACACUUCAAAAGGAUCCUAAGAAUAGUUCUAAAGUAGAUUGGACCAAAAACAAUGAUUAACAGCCAAUAAAUCGAUCAAAAUAGCAGUGCUCUAGAAAUUUCACAAUCUAUUUGUCAUAAUGCCUCAAAGAACAGUGAAUUUGGAUGCAGAAAUUGGUCAAUCAGUCUCGGCAGUUUUUCAUUUUAUUGGAUGCAAUGGUUCUUUCAGCUUUUUAAUGUGUCUAUCUUAUUGUUUGGACAAUCUUGAAUGCAUUUUUUUUAAUGGAACCAAGCUUUUACUACAUCCAUGAGUACUGACCAAUCACCACAUUCAAUCUAAAUUUUGAAAAAAAGAAAAGUACUGCACUGCUACAGAUUUAACCAGAAUUUACCCAAAAUUUGGCAAGUCCUAUAGGCAUUUUGCAUAUAACAGCAACUACUCAUCUUAAACUGAUGCAAACAUGUUUGAAUGAUUAAAACAAACUUGUUUGAACACAAAUUCUGCUAAAAUUCAAGGUGUAACAAAAAUUGAGUAGGUUUGUGCUACUGCAAGCUAUUUGAAGCAACUAGGAUAGCCAAAUUUUGCAAACCAUGGUAAUUCAGUUUGAACACAACAGAAAUGAACUCAAUACAACCAAAGAAAAUUUCUCAAAAUGGCAGAAGUAUCAAUUAGAUGAUUGGCAAUGAUCUAGUGCUCAAUCCAAAACCACACGCAGAAUUAACUCAAUCAACAAUUGCAGCUCGGUUUAUUGCUAAUGUAAUUUAAGUUGGAACUUUCCAGCAAUGUCACCAGGCGAAUUGCAGAGCAAUAUCAUGCUCCUUUGGUGCUUAUUCUAGAUCAGCAUCAUGACAACUUCAAAAUAGCAACACAGACCAGAUUUAGUCAAGAAAACUCAUGACUGAUUGCUGGAACAAAAUCAACGCAACACGCUGCACAAUUUUAGCAAAGAAAUCUGAUUGAAUGACACCAAAUCAUGCACCUGAGCUAUUCAUAGAUAUGGUCAUGGCUCUUUGAUAGUGCAGAGUAUAUCAUUUUCCAAUCAAAAUUUCACAGGUGCAGCCACGUAAAACCAGAUUUGAAAGACAUUUUUAAGCAACUAUACAUGACUUAUGACACAACCAUAUAUGAUGCUCAAAUUAAAGACUCAAACAACAACAUUAACCGAUUAAAAUGCAAAGGACUCAAGCAAAAACGCAGCUAGCACAGAAAAAGACUCAAACAGAACCUAAAUCAAGAUCAAAUGAAUGGAACAGAUGGAAAACAGAUUCAAAGACAUUGCAGAAUUUGUUGACAGUACGGAAAUAGAAGAAUGACACUUAUCUCACGGUGUAGCUUGAACCUUGCUCUGAAUACCACUUGAUACAUCAAGGCUUGAUGUAAUCUUGAAGAUCCGUGUGACCAGAGGUUUGGAGAAGCAAAGUAGCGGAUGCAAUCCAAUGGAACAAUACUAGCAAUGUGAUUCCAGUACAGAUCUGGAUUGUUUGCAGAAACGAAACUUGGUNNNNNNNNNNNNNNNNNNNNNNNNNNNNNNNNNNNNNNNNNNNNNNNNNNNNNNNNNNNNNNNNNNNNNNNNNNNNNNNNNNNNNNNNNNNNNNNNNNNNNNNNNNNNNNNNNNNNNNNNNNNNNNNNNNNNNNNNNNNNNNNNNACAACUCAGAAGGCCCCCACACUAGGAAGGAAGUUGCAAUGGAGAAGCAAGCCUUGAAGUGACUCUCGGACAUGAAAAAGUGUCUAUGCAUUUCAGCAGAGUUUCUCUAAUAUCAUCCAAAAGUGAAUACAUGGGUAGCCAAGGUGAGUUUUAUAGACUCCUCAACCUUUGGCUUGGUGAUGAAAAACGUGUUCAUCUAAGAUGGAUCACGUUCCAAAUUUAUAAAACAUGUGCUAAAUGUGCUAGCUUCUAGAAACCAUAUGGAGUACAUGUUUAUUCUAUUUCUAAUAUAAGAAAGUUCCCGGUGCACCCCCUAUCAAGCUAAUCUCACCCUUGCAUGUGCAUAAAGGUCUCUUUUACCCCUCUCCAUGUUUUUGGAUUGUUCUUUAUUUGGUGGGCUUGGGCCCCGCGUAUCAUUUUCAGUGACCCUUUUCUCUAUUUUUGGUUUGUGGUAGAACUUUCGUAUUUGUUUUUGUUUGAGUUAAAUUGAGUAUGUGUUAGGGGAAAAAAGGGUUUUGGGUUUUAUUUAGGUGCUUAUGAAAGGUGUGUCGCUUGUGAUAGUUCCCGUGAUAGUAUUUAGUGCCUGAUUGUUCCUAGAUUGAUAUAACCUUUGAUGGAGUUCUAUUUCAUGAAGAUACGAUACUUUGUGGAAGCUAAUGUCCAUUUUUUUUUAUUUGAUUUGAUUUUCGGGUGUCGGUAUUUGUGUUCCAAGAGGCUUCUGAUGUGAAUCGGUGUUUGUGACUUAAUGGAGGAGUUUCAUGUAGUUGGAUAGUGUGUGAUGAUUUGACAAUAGUUUUUUUUGUUUCUUUUUGCUCUUUUAGGUAGCAACAGGAAAUUGAACUGAUUAGAGCUCUUUUUGAAAAUAUAAUGCCUUUCAGAUUCAAAGUUUACCUAGCAAGAACUUCCAGCGUGUAAGCCAAUUCUCACUCCACGAGCGGUAACACUAACCACUACGUUUUUUUAAUUCACUGCUUGUGACUAUAUGUGUACUGAAAUGCAUUUGAUUCCUUUUCUGUUGUCGUGAUAUUUCUGGUACUCAACAUUGUAUUCGUUCCAAUUGGAGUUGCUUCGCUAAUUGCUUCGAGGAAGGUUAUGUUGAGUGCUGUAAAUUUGGUGACCUUCUGCUCAUAGUUGUAUAUAAUGCUGAGUUCAACUUUCAUUUUCUUGUAUAUGUCAGGUUGUUGAAAUUGUUUUUAGGUAUGAAUCAACGUGCAUACCAAAUAAUGUUACUGACAAGGUAGCAUACAUUCAAAGUUCUGCGAGUAAAGCAUGCAACAUAACACUACAUGUAAAUCUCCUUCCCACCUAUUUAUCCAUUUCAUUUAACUCAAAUCUUUCUAUUAAAUCUGUUCCCAUGAUUUACAAUGUUAGCAAAAAGUUAAAGAUGGAGUUUUGAUGAUGUACAAAUUUGCACAAUACAAGAUCCAAGAAGACUAUUUGAAGAUUCAUUAUUGUUGAAAGCUUUUGUAAUAAUCAUAGUUGAUGUGCUUUUGCUUAGAUAUGUAAUAAGGUUUGAUUCAUGUACUCUAUAUGUGAUUAAUUUCUAUUUAGAAUCAAACACAAGUUGUUUUAAUCGAUUAAACCAAGUUAUAAUUGAUUAAAACGAGGUUGGCACUACAAACCCAAAUGGCUUUAGAAUAAUCGAUUAAUUCAGGCUUUAAUCGAUUAGCUAAUUGAUUAAAAUCAAGAAUAAUCGAUUAAUACUAGCUGUUAGAGGUUUCAAAUUUGAAAAACUAGCCAUUGUACUCAUUUUAAUCGAUUAACACUAAUAUUAGUCGAUUAAAUGCGUUAAAAUGGCUAGUUUCGAAGAAUGGAAGAACACUGGCUUGAGUCUAUAAAUUGGCUCAUUGUUUCUGCCAGAACCAACUCUUCCCUUGCGCUCUAAACAUAUGAAAUAAUUGAGAAUAGUGUGUUGUCGCUGAAGCUAAAGAAACUCUUGUUUGCAAAGCUGUGAAGUGAUACUGCGGUGACAGAGAAAUAGUUGGUUCAUCCUUGGUGUGUCUAAGGAGGUGAUUGGAAGAGUAUCAUCCUUCGUGAAGUAUUCGAAGGAGGUGUGAUGAGCUCUGUGAUUGCAAUUCAGAAAUGCAGUAUAAUGCUAGGGAAUGACCCCUAAGUCGUCUCUCAAGGACCAACUGCGGUUCAGAGUCAAGUCUAACACGAAAGGGGGGUUUUGAAAAGUGUUUUUGUAGUGAAUGCGGAAAAUUUAAAAUUCACGCUGGAACUGGACAGCUCUGACCUUUGCUCAAUGUUUUACUCAUAACUUUUUCUACAGAGCUCUAAAUGAGAUGAGGUUUUUUUUCCUGGAAAGUAGACUCAAAUAUCUUUCAUUUGACACAUAAAACGUAGCAUUUGGACCUCUGGUGUGGUUGCAGUUAUUUUUUUAAAAUCGAGUCCAGAGAGUGAAAAUGCUAAACCAAAUACUAGACUAAACAAAUAUCUAACACAGUUAAAAUUAUUAAAGGGCAAUACUAAAUUAAAGAGAUUAAAAAAAAAUUAAAAAUAUAAUGUAAAACAUUCCUAAGGCAAAAGAAAAAUAAAAAAAAAAUAAAGAUGCUUGAAAAGAAAUGGAUGGAUGAGUGACGUUCCAACUAAGGCAAAGGGUUGCACACGUAAUAAAGUUAGAAUAAAAAAAAACAUGUAUAUAUAUAAGGUUAACUAAAGAAAGAGAACCCAGCGAGCAUGUGCACAAUUUAAAGCCUAAGCUACAUUAUCCAAGCAAAAUAAAAUGGCUGAAUCAAAAUGAGAAUGAACAUUGCAUCUUUUAACACGUGCAGGUGAAACAAAAUACAAGGGGGCCGUGACUCUUUGUUGGAAUCAAAGUCAUAAAAUGCCAAAAACAAAAUGCUGCACCGUUUUCUUCAAUCAAGAAGAGUAAAUGCCUUUCUUUUUAAAUAAAAAUCACCAUCCCAUCAUUCCACCUAUUCUAUUUUUGAUUUCAUAAAAUAAGGAAAAGAAAAGAAAACUAAUCCAUACUACGCAACAACGUUGCAUCCAUUUGAAAUGACCAUGACCAAUCACCGUGUGCUACUACUGGAAUCAGCUCUUCCCAUUUCAUUCAAAGAAACCAAAAAUCUCCAAAGUAAGUGGCCCGAGAGCUACAUUUUCCUGCACCAACAAAACUUUCAGCAAAGUCUGAAUACUCUAGUGUGACGGCUGCCCCCUUGUUUCUAAUCCCUAGGCCAAGUGUGUGUCAUCCAAGAGGGUGGGGUCCACCCUAAAAAAAUAUAUAACCCUAGGGUGACAAGUGUCCUACAAUUUUGGGCUCCUACAAAAUUGCCACUAUGGCCCAUGAUGGAAAGAGUUUGUCUAAAAAGUUCUAACAAUUAAAAUUACAAUACAAUUAAAAUUUAAAACGUUUAAUUGAAGAGUCUUGAAAUUUAUUUUGUCUCCUUCCCAAUGCUCCAAAUUGUAUCUCCAAAAUUUUCCCUGCAAAUAAUAAUGCAAAUAAUUAGCUCAGAAAAUUCAAAUUAAUUAAAAUUAGAAUUUUCGGUCAAAUUAAGCAUAAUUAGAAAAACGGGAAAAUACUGGACAAUUAAGCACAAUUCCCUGAUUAAUUAUAGCACAAUAAACUAAGUGAAAUCAAUAAAAUAUCGACUCAUCACUCUGUUCCGGGACAGAUCGGCGGGGAGUCCUAGGAUCUGAUGUGGAUCAAGCUGAAACACCAAGAAGCAGCGAAAAACACGAGUUGGAAGUCGUAGACACAGCGGAAGACAAGAGAUGAGGACUACGAACCCUAGGUUUGGUGAUUUGUUCGGUAGAAAGGCUAGGUUUAGGCGUUUGGAAGGUUUUAAACGGUAAAAAGAGAGAUCUCACCGAUUGAAUCGGUGGAAUGAAGGAAAUCUCGGACUUAAUCGGUGAAAAGGAAGGUUAGGCCAGAAAUGACGAAAACAAUCGGUCCAAAGGUGAGAUAUGGUAAGGAGAAGGUGAAUCUGAGGAUUGUUUCGGUGAAAAGUGACUUACGGUGGUUGAUUUGCAAGGAGAAUGUGGAUGUGAGAUGGAAGACGAAGAUCAGGGCUCGAGUGGCGGAAACCCUAGCAAAGACGUUUCUUCGAAGGAAAAGAAUGAAGGAAUGUGAUCUGUGGUGUGAUAAGCACGAAGACAUGGCAUGGAAAGCAAAUGCUGAGGCAAGCCAUGCGGAAGCUUCGUAUUGGAACGAGUGACGUCAGAGGAUUGGUGGAUGUGGAGAAGUGAGAAAAUGAAGAAUAUUGGAAAAUGAAUGAAGUGUAAUGUGAAUGGAAGGUGGCUGAGGAAUCCCUUGGAUUCUUCAGCCUUGACUUUCAAGGAAUUAAUUCUAGAGUAUUCUCAACAGGAAAUUAAUUCAUUAUCUCAAAAGUAAUUACAAAAGGUGUGGGCAUGCCUUUAUACAGGAAUACAAGUCCCACAUACCUUACACAUAUUACAAAUGCAUAAGAAAAAUGCUAAACUAAGGAAAUUGGGCUUGGGCCCAAGUCAUCAUCCCCUCCCCCUUGGAAAGGAUUUGUCCUCAAAUUUGAUGGCUCACCUGAGGACUUAUUAUUGUAGACUCCAUAGAAGUUCCUCCUGGAUCAAAGAUUAAUCUGCAAUAAGCAUCAAACAUAUAUCUAAUUAGCUUUAUUUGACCCAAU
Molecule: long non-coding RNA, 10302 nt
Filed under: Vigna radiata
Lineage: Eukaryota; Viridiplantae; Streptophyta; Magnoliopsida; Fabales; Fabaceae
Description: long non-coding RNA (VRAD_LNC014460)
Source: RNAcentral